Molecule: non-coding RNA, 112 nt
Organism: Acanthosepion pharaonis
Lineage: Eukaryota; Metazoa; Mollusca; Cephalopoda; Sepiida; Sepiidae
Source: the annotation of a GenBank genome assembly
CAUAUCAUGUUGAAACACCAGUUCUCAUACAGUAUGAUCACCAAAGUUAAGCAAUGUCAAGCCUGGUCAGUACUUAGAUGGGUGUCUACUUGAGAGUACCAAGUGUUGUAAG